RNAcentral lists this ribosomal RNA (429 nucleotides) under uncultured archaeon. RNAcentral describes it as "bacterial SSU rRNA". It matches the Rfam family "Archaeal small subunit ribosomal RNA", at positions 474 to 903 of the family's 1478-position model. The record is from RNAcentral.
UACCAGCUCUCCGAGUGGUAGGGAUUAUUAUUGGGCUUAAAGCGUCCGUAGCCGGCUUAGCAAGUCUCCUGUUAAAUUCAGCGACCUAAUCGUUGAGCCGCGGGAGACACUACUAGGCUAGGAGGCGGGAGAGGCCGACGGUAUUCUCGGGGUAGGGGUGAAAUCCUAUAAUCCCGGGAGGACCACCAGUGGCGAAGGCUGUCGGCUAGAACGCGCUCGACGGUGAGGGACGAAAGCUGGGGGAGCGAACCGGAUUAGAUACCCGGGUAGUCCCAGCUGUAAACGAUGCGGGCUAGGUGUUGGGGUGGCUACGAGCCACUUCAGUGCCGCAGGGAAGCCAUUAAGCCCGCCGCCUGGGGAGUACGGCCGCAAGGCUGAAACUUAAAGGAAUUGGCGGGGGAGCACCACAAGGCGUGAAGCUUGCGGUUC